Molecule: unclassified non-coding RNA, 433 nt
Filed under: soil metagenome
Description: partial contains 5.8S ribosomal RNA, internal transcribed spacer 2, and large subunit ribosomal RNA
Rfam family: 5.8S ribosomal RNA (bases 1-120)
Source: RNAcentral
GAUGAAGAACGCAGCGAAAUGCGAUACGUAAUGUGAAUUGCAGAAUUCAGUGAAUCAUCGAAUCUUUGAACGCAUAUUGCGCUCUCUGGUAUUCCGGAGAGCAUGCUUGUUUGAGUAUCAGUAAACACCUCAACUUCCAUAUCUUUUUUGAAAUGGGAGUUGGACUUGAGUGAUCCCAACGCUUUUCCUCACCGAAAAGUGGCGGGUUACUUGAAAUGCAGGUGCAGUUGGACUUUUCUCUGAGCUAUAAGCAUAUCUAUUUAGUCUGCCUAAAAAACAGAUUAUUACCUUUGCUGCAGCUAACAUAAAGGAGAUUAGUUCUUGUGCUGACUGAUGCAGGAUUCACAAAGACAGGCUUCGGCCGACUUUGUAAACUCGAUCUCAAAUCAAGUAAGACUACCCGCUGAACUUAAGCAUAUCAAUAAGCGGAGGA